CGGUUUAAUUGGAUUCAACGCCGGAAAUCUUACCGGACCGACAGCAAUAUGAAGGCCAGGCUGAAGACUUUGCCGGAUUAGCUGAGAGGUGGUGCAUGGCCGUCGUCAGUUCGUACUGUGAAGCAUCCUGUUAAGUCAGGCAACGAGCGAGACCCACGCCCACAGUUGCCAGCGUACUCUCCGGAGUGACGGGUACACUGUGGGGACCGCCGCUGCUAAAGCGGAGGAAGGAAUGGGCAACGGUAGGUCAGUAUGCCCCGAAUAUCCCGGGCUACACGCGAGCUACAAUGGUUGGUACAAUGGGUAUCUACCCCGAAAGGGGACGGGAAUCUCCUAAAACCAAUCUUAGUUCGGAUUGAGGGCUGCAACUCGCCCUCAUGAAGCUGGAAUCCGUAGUAAUCGCGUUUCAACAGAACGCGGUGAAUACGUCCCUGCUCCUU
This 440-nucleotide ribosomal RNA is filed under the name uncultured Methanosaeta sp. RNAcentral's name for it is "bacterial SSU rRNA". It matches the Rfam family "Archaeal small subunit ribosomal RNA", at positions 898 to 1338 of the family's 1478-position model. The record is from RNAcentral. Lineage: Archaea; Methanobacteriati; Methanobacteriota; Methanomicrobia; Methanotrichales; Methanotrichaceae.